RNAcentral lists this ribosomal RNA (773 nucleotides) under uncultured Neocallimastigales. Its description in RNAcentral is "partial large subunit ribosomal RNA". It matches the Rfam family "Eukaryotic large subunit ribosomal RNA", at positions 22 to 640 of the family's 3401-position model. Lineage: Eukaryota; Fungi; Neocallimastigomycota; Neocallimastigomycetes; Neocallimastigales. The record is from RNAcentral.
GUACACGCUGUGACUAGCAUAUCAAUAAGCGGAGGAAAAGAAACUAACAAGGAUCCCCUAGUAACGGCGAGUGAAGCGGGAAGAGCUCAAAUUUGAAAUCUUAAAGGGUUUCCCUUUACGAAUUGUAGUUUAAAGAAGUGUUUUCUGUUGAGGUUUUGGUAAAAGUUCUUCGGAAUAGGACAUCAUAGAGGGUGAGAAUCCCGUAUUUGACCUUUACUUUCAACUUUGUGAUACACUUUCAAAGAGUCGGAUUGUUUGGGAAUGCAGUCCAAAAUGGGUGGUAAAUUUCAUCUAAAGCUAAAUAUUGGCGAGAGACCGAUAGCGAACAAGUACCGUGAGGGAAAGAUGAAAAGAACUUUGAAAAGAGAGUUAAACAGUACGUGAAAUUGUCAAAAGGGAAGCGUUUGACACCAGUGUUGUUUUUCUGAAAAUCAAUUAAAGAACUGUUUAUGCUAAGCUGUUUAGACUUUAUCAGCUAUCUGUUUAGUUUUGAGCUUUUCUUUAAUGCACUUUUCAGUUAACAAGUCAACAUCAAUUUCUUUUGCUGUAAAAAAGCUUGAGGAAGGUGGCUUGAGAUUCGUCUUAAGUGUUUAUAGCCUCUUGCCUAUGCAGUCGGAGAGAUUGAGGUCUGCAGCGUAGAUCCUUCGGGGCUAAAUGCAUUUGUGCUAAGUUAUAAGCAUUUUAUAGACAACUUGUUGACUAUGAUUUGUCUUGUAGCUUACUCGCUUAUGUUAUUUUACCUACGCUUAGGAUGUUGACGCGCGUGUGUGCGU